Molecule: non-coding RNA, 605 nt
Submitted as: unclassified sequences
Source: Rfam
AUACACUAGACAAUGUCAGGCGAACCUGCUGAAGAGCCGAUGACCUCGGUGGCAGGGCGUCCCGGAACGCCGCGGUACAUCUUCAGGACAGAUAAACUGGAGAAUGUAACAAACCGUUGCCCAAACAGAGAUGGGAGGGCAGAAGGAUAUACAUUUCCAACAGCAAAGGGACGGCGGGUUCAUAAAGAAUUGAAAAGCAAAAGGCAAGGGGAACGGGAGCGGCAUCCGACAACAGACGGCGGAGGUUCCGCAGUAACCGUGCGGGCCCUGGUUUGAGACCCAGAAGCAGCACGGCAUUCAGGACGGAUGCAUCAGGUUGAGACCUUGAAAAAGGUGUAUAAGCUUUACCCCCUGUUUAACGGGCAAACCCUGGAAAUUUUAAAAAGAUGUCAUUUAAACACUUAUUUAAAAUCUGAAUGUCGCCCGGAGAUGCAGGUAAAUCCCUGCACAUGCGUAGCAACUCCAAGCACUUGUGUGCGAGGAGCUGGUUGUCCAGGAAGUAUGGAGGUAGCUCCCCCAUGCUCAGACCUGGGCACAUGUUGGCUGAACAUUGCGGUUCUUAUAUUGGACUUAGGGGGAAGCCCCCGCUUGAUGUCUUUUAAAAU